UUCUGCCAUGUUUCGAGACGCAUAAUCAGAUAAAUGAUUAUGUGUCAGAUACCAAAUGGCAUGAACCUUAAUUUAAAACAAAUAUAAAAAUGUUUUGCAGAACAAUGUGCAAUCUCAGCCAAAAGAUGGUGAUUUUUAUUG
This 141-nucleotide small nucleolar RNA is filed under the name Oryza sativa Japonica Group (Japanese rice). Its description in RNAcentral is "Small nucleolar RNA F1/F2/snoR5a". The record is from RNAcentral. Lineage: Eukaryota; Viridiplantae; Streptophyta; Magnoliopsida; Poales; Poaceae.